Molecule: transfer RNA, 66 nt
Filed under: Empis nigripes
Lineage: Eukaryota; Metazoa; Arthropoda; Insecta; Diptera; Empididae
Description: tRNA-Cys
Source: RNAcentral
GGCUUUAUAUUCAACAAUGAUAUUAGACUGCAAUUCUAAAGGAGGAAUUUAAAAUUUCUAAAGCUU